Long non-coding RNA from Ictalurus punctatus (channel catfish), 2620 nucleotides. RefSeq lists it as uncharacterized. The record is from RefSeq and is a predicted model, not a curated record. NCBI's taxonomy places the organism in Eukaryota, Metazoa, Chordata, Actinopteri, Siluriformes, Ictaluridae. The transcript has 2 exons.
CCGGUGACCUACCUGUCUCUCCCCCGGGGGCUCUGUCACCGGCAGCAGCCGCUGCAUCGGUCGCCGACAUGGCUGGAGCCGGUACGCCGGGGCCCAGCACUCGGAUGCAUGUGGAGGAGUAGGCGUCGGAAGAAGCAGCGUCAAGCAUGAAAACAGCACCCCCGGUACGCGAUAUAAUCAGGACGCAGAGGUUGGAAGAUACGGAGGGGGAGGGGAGGGGAGGGGGGAACACGGAAGCAGACGCUCGUGACUCCUCCCACCGCAGCCAGAGCCCGCCUCCCUCGCGCUCCAUUCCCUCACGUUCCUAAAUCAGCAAGUCACGCGAUAUGUUACGCAAGCGGAGAAAAAUGCGGUCACGGAUUCAAUAGCGGUAUGCAGAGGGAACCGGGUUAGUGGCACGAAAGUUUGCAGUGUCGGUCUAUGUCUGUAGUCAACUGUCAUGGCUUUAUCUCGAUCGUUUACUUGCUUUUUAACUGCAUAUUUAUUAUUAGACUUAUUAUUAUUAUUAUUAUUAUUAUUAUUAUUAUUAGUAGUAGUAGUAGUAGUAGUAGUAGUAGUAGUAGUGUUGUCCAAAGGUCUGAGACCAUUAGUAAAUGUUUCUAUUUUGCAUUCUUUGCUUAUCUAAUACAAACAUUUUCAUUAGAAAUUAUAUUAUUUACAAAAACUUGAUUGAAAAGUAGAAUAUUUGAAAUAUUUACCUGAAUUUCCGAGUUUCUUAGUAUUUGGUUUGUCCCCUUUUUGCUUUAAUGACUGUGCACUCGAGCUGGCGUGGACCCUGGCAUGGACUCUGGUAUGGACAUGUGCAAAACCUUAUGAUCCAUUUUAGAUCAAAUACAUUGAAGUGUCGUCUGAUCACAUGCUUCAUUAGAAGAAAUUAGACAUUAGGAAUUAGGCAUAAAGAAAAUCUGAUCAUUUGUACAAAGCAGUUAAUAUGGUCAGUAUCACAAAAAUUUGCUUGCAUUGAAAUAGGGACCUUUUUAACCCUUGUGCGUCAAUUAAAAAAGUUACACAUAGGUCCAUAGAGGACCAAAAUGUCCAUGUCCAAAAACUGUCAUAAAAUAUUAUAUAUUAAUAUUUUUUUUCCACUUCCACUGACAUCAGUUUUUUUUUUUACCAGCUUCAGUUCUGAUCAUAAUUCAUUACAAUAAACAUUCAUUCAUUUUCAGAAUUGUAACCCUUUAAAUGCUGCUUGUUUACAUUAUGCCACAGAUGUUUUUUUUAUGAAAAAAUAAAACAUAAAUUAUUUUCCAUAUACUAAAUGCUAAGCAGAUUUUUUUUUCUUUGAUUAUUACAGUCUUUGAUAUGUCAAUGAUUAACAACAACAUUAAUUUUGAGGUUCAUAUUUUUUAUACAGUGUCAGAAUUAAAAACAAAAAAACAAAACUACUACUCAGGUCCUUGUCAAAAAACUGUCAUAGAAAUAUGAUAUAUUAUUUUUUUUUUUUUUUUUCCAAUUUCACUGACUUUAGUUUUUUUUUACCAGCAUCAGUUCUGAUCAUAACUACCCAAACAUUCAUUCAUUUUCAGAAUUUUAACCCUUUAAAAUGCUGAGUUGAGCCUUUUGGGUCAUUUAAUUGGGUUAUUUUCUGACUUGGAUAGUUUUUGGGUAGUUUUGUGUAACCCAAAUGCUGGGUUAGUGGCUGGGUCAUUUUCAAUGACAGGUGAAUCAAUGCCCCAAACCUGACACCUCAGCCCAGCUCCUUUGGUCAAAUCAACUCAGCACAGACUGUUUGAAUUCACCUCAGGUGGAGGUAGCGGUUUUCACAUGGACGGUGUUAAUAUCCUACAUUUUAUGUUAUUACUAUUUGAGCACGUGUUAAAUUAUCCUAUAAAUGCGUUAAAAUAAAAUAAAAAUUUCACACGAGUGCCCAACACAACAUGUGUUAAAUUACUGAUAGUUAGGCAGGGAGCUCUCGAAAAUGUAUUCAUUGUAAAACAGUAACUCAAAAAGUGAUAAUUAACUUUACCUAUCGCCACAGCUUCAACAAUGAAUAUCAUGUACUGCUUCCUCAUUGUUGGCGUUACACUACUACUGUCAGUUGUUUACGUUGGCUGUGAAAUAUGGACCGAGGUUACUAUAUAAUUCUCUGGGUCUGCAUCUUAUCUGAGGCUCCGAGUUAGGGUUAGCUAGCUGGAUUCUGUAACCAAUCACAGUAAGGAUGAGUGAUGCUAACCUAGACGCUCACCUGAGUUAAAAACAUUACUUUACAGCUCGCGGUAAUGUUAGACAUUACCAUUACCCUUUUGAGAGUUAACGAUAAUAUAGCAUUACAUCUAUUCACCAUGAUGUAAUACAGAGAAUGGGUUAACGUUAACUACAUUUAGCAAUUCUUUUGGACAAAGCAAGCUGUAGUAAUUAGCAUUAGGAAGACAGGUUAGUGUCGUGUUUCUUCAUGUAUUCGGCAAAUGUUAAUGCUGGUUAACAGGUGCAGACAGUCAGUGGCUAACGGAACUUAGCUAGUGCAGUAAUGUCGAGGCCAAAAGUUCUUUACAAGGUUAGCGUGACAAAAAUAAAGGUUGGGUUUAGGUUGUAAUGCUUUCCAUUAUCUCUGUAAUGUUGGUUCAUGUAAUUAGGUUGUGCAAAAAAAUUGAUGGUGAGGUGCUAAAGGCAGGAAAAUAAA